GUCCACGCCGUAAACGAUGGGUGCUAGACGUUGGCGGGCUUGCCCGUCAGUGUCGCAGCUAACGCGUUAAGCACCCCGCCUGGGGAGUACGGCCGCAAGGUUGAAACUCAAAGGAAUUGACGGGGGCCCGGCACAAGCGGUGGAGCAUGUGGUUCAAUUCGACGCAACGCGAAGAACCUUACCAGCCCUUGACUUGUGGCUCGCCGGCUCCGGAGACGGAGCCUUCGGUUCGGCCGGAGCCAACACAGGUGCUGCAUGGCUGUCGU
This 266-nucleotide ribosomal RNA is filed under the name uncultured bacterium. RNAcentral's name for it is "partial 16S ribosomal RNA". It matches the Rfam family "Bacterial small subunit ribosomal RNA", at positions 793 to 1055 of the family's 1533-position model. The record is from RNAcentral.